GGAAAUGUGGCUCAGUGGUAGAGCAUCUGCCUAGGAAGAACAAAGCCCUGAGUUCAAACUUCAGUACCGCCA
This 72-nucleotide transfer RNA is filed under the name Dipodomys ordii (Ord's kangaroo rat). It matches the Rfam family "tRNA". From Rfam's summary of the family: Transfer RNA (tRNA) molecules are approximately 80 nucleotides in length. Their secondary structure includes four short double-helical elements and three loops (D, anti-codon, and T loops). The record is from Rfam by way of RNAcentral. Lineage: Eukaryota; Metazoa; Chordata; Mammalia; Rodentia; Heteromyidae.